Long non-coding RNA from Pipistrellus kuhlii (Kuhl's pipistrelle), 487 nucleotides. RefSeq lists it as uncharacterized. The record is from RefSeq and is a predicted model, not a curated record. Lineage: Eukaryota; Metazoa; Chordata; Mammalia; Chiroptera; Vespertilionidae. The transcript is spliced from 3 exons.
GCAGCAGAUACUGAAGCCAUUAAUGAUAAAUUCAUAUUUACAAUGUUAGAAAAAUAAGAUUCUGAUUAUGAAACAAAAGAUUGUUUUUAGGCUGAAGAAGUAAAUAAUAGUAAGAAUAAGAACUUCUGCAAAAGCCAAGUCUUCAGAUGAUCAGAGAAAGUAUUUAAUGGUGAAAGACAGAAAACUGAAUAAUGUCAUCAAAAUUUGCCUUUUGUCUUGGGCUGUUGCAGCUAGUUUUCUUGGUCAGUGGUGUUAAGGAUAUUCAUGUUGUUGUACAACCAAUCAUCUCCAGAACUCUUUUUACCUUGCAAAAGAAACUCAGCACUCAUUAAACAACUCCCCAUUGCCUCUUCCCGACCUCUGUCAACCAUCAUUCUACUUCUGUCUUUGAAUUUGACUACUCUAGCUAUCUCAUACAAAUGGAAUCAUGCAGUAUUUGCUUUUUUGGUGACUGGCUUAUGUCAUGGUUCAUCCAUGUUGUAAUAUG